Molecule: long non-coding RNA, 643 nt
Organism: Papaver somniferum (opium poppy)
Lineage: Eukaryota; Viridiplantae; Streptophyta; Magnoliopsida; Ranunculales; Papaveraceae
Exons: 2
Source: RefSeq, a predicted model, not a curated record
GGCUCCCUAUUUGUUUCUUCUCUUCCCUUCUCCACUAAUAUUCUACAGCCAGAAACUUUAGAGUGAAAUCACCGAUGGUGCUUAAGAGAUUAUUUUUUUGAAAGAGUAUAUUUAGUUUUUAUGGAAUCAGUUUUUCCAUAUUCCCUUCCUGGUUUGCUUUCCUUCUCCUGUUGAGGAAAAAAGUUUAGGAAAACAAAAAUGGAAAUCAACGAUUGAACCUCAUGGAGAAUGAUAGUGAUUGUUGUGUUCUUAUUAGGUAAAGAAGAAAUUGAGAAAAAAUUUCAAGACGAUCAAGUCACGUUUACUACUUGAACUAUUGGACGGACUGAGGCUGCAAUGUGCUGAAUUCAAAUCCUGGAUAGACAACUGUUUGUAUUAUCUUUCACUAUCCGCUUAUCGGAUAAAGCUGAAAUUUUAGUAAGAUGUUUAUAUACAUAUAUCCAACCUACUGUAAAAAUUUCAUGAAUUUAUGAUCACCUUAGGUACCCCAAAGUGUAAGCUCAACAUGGCUGUCUUUCGUGGAACAUUUAUUCAAGUAGUCAAGUCAUGACGUGUAUAUGUUCUUAUUGAACCAUUGAAUUACUGUAAUUCUGUAAUAUGUUGUGUUACCAUAAUCCAUAAGGUUACAUUAAAAUUUUGAUUA